Medicago truncatula (barrel medic) is the source of this 565-nucleotide long non-coding RNA. RefSeq lists it as uncharacterized. The record is from RefSeq and is a predicted model, not a curated record. The transcript has 3 exons. Lineage: Eukaryota; Viridiplantae; Streptophyta; Magnoliopsida; Fabales; Fabaceae.
ACAUGGAAAAAUUUAAAAUAAAUGGCUGAAACUCUCAAAUUUAUUUAUAUUGUGAUCCUUUUGGUUUCACUAUGUCUUGUUGUCAUUGACGGCUUCAGGACUUAUAAGGAAUGUAAAAGUGCUAGCGAUUGUUAUACAAUAUAUAGGCGUGCUUUUUAUGGAAGUAUGAGGUGUGUUAAAGGUUUUUGUAAACACCUCAAAGAUGUUAAGCUUAUAUAAUUUGUAUUUACUGUCUUGGAGUGAAGCAGAUGCCUUCUCUAAAGACUCUAUUUUAUGUCGUUAAUUAUUUUGGGAUGUGGUCAACUCUAAGAGGUGGCAUCAAGUUGGGAUAAAAUGAUCAUAUUAUACACGAGACAAUUUUUAUUUGGUACCUUGAGUCAUUUAAACCACCCUUUUAUAUUCUUAUUAUCCUUUGUGAAACCACUUUGAACCUUCAGACGAAAUUUUUAUUUUUGUUACUUAGUGAUGAAUCAUGUCACAGUCCUGAACUUUAAAUGCAUCCUAUAUGAUUUCACUUUGAGUUAUAUAGGUAUUAUUAUGAUUGAAUGUGGUUUGAAGCUAAGUU